This 497-nucleotide ribosomal RNA is filed under the name uncultured bacterium. RNAcentral describes it as "partial 16S ribosomal RNA". It matches the Rfam family "Bacterial small subunit ribosomal RNA", at positions 28 to 507 of the family's 1533-position model. The record is from RNAcentral.
GAUGAACGCUGGCGGCGUGCCUAAUACAUGCAAGUCGAGCGAACAGAUGAGGAGCUUGCUCCUCUGACGUUAGCGGCGGACGGGUGAGUAACACGUGGAUAACCUACCUAUAAGACUGGGAUAACUUCGGGAAACCGGCGCUAAUACCGGAUAAUAUAUUGAACCGCAUGGUUCAAUAGUGAAAGACGGUUUUGCUGUCACUUAUAGAUGGAUCCGCGCCGCAUUAGCUAGUUGGUAAGGUAACGGCUUACCAAGGCAACGAUGCGUAGCCGACCUGAGAGGGUGAUCGGCCACACUGGAACUGAGACACGGUCCAGACUCCUACGGGAGGCAGCAGUAGGGAAUCUUCCGCAGUGGGCGAAAGCCUGACGGAGCAACGCCGCGUGAGAGAUGAAGGUCUUCGGAUCGUAAAACUCUGUUAUUAGGGAAGAACAAAUGUGUAAGUAACUAUGCACGGCUUGACGGUACCUAAUCAGAAAGCCACGGCUAACUACGUG